AUUAAUUUAACAUAUAACUAAUGUAUUAAAUUUAAAAUUUAAAAAACUUUUAGAAUUAAUU
Molecule: transfer RNA, 61 nt
Filed under: Acerentomon microrhinus
Lineage: Eukaryota; Metazoa; Arthropoda; Protura; Acerentomata; Acerentomidae
Description: tRNA-Leu
Source: RNAcentral